UAAAACUGAUUGACAUUAAUAUGGAGUAGAAUACAUUGUUGGAUUAUUCAUACAUUCUUUAAUGAAAGCCAUUGCUAGAGAAGAACAUAAGCAAGAUUGCAAUACCAAAACUCAAGUUGCAUGCUCAAAGAUAUCCAAGCCAAUGCUUGAGGUAGCAUUCUAAAGUACAUUGUUGAGAUGUAGCGACAAAUUCUGAGUACAAGGAUACAAAUAACUGUACGACAAAGUAAUGCUCGCAAAAAUUAAGCUAGAGAUGUAUUUGUCUUAUACUUUUUGUCAAGGAGAAGUGAAAAAAAUCUGCAAAUAAUGCAACUAUUCUAGACUUAUCGUUUUGAUCAAUGUCUUGAGAUGCAAAGUUGUGCUACAAAGUCUAUUUGUCUUAUACUUUUUGUAAUCAGAUGUAUCUACAUCUCUACUAACUGUCAUGAAAUUCACCGAUAGAUAUUAACUGCAGUUACCUUU
This 462-nucleotide long non-coding RNA is filed under the name Trifolium pratense (red clover). RNAcentral's name for it is "long non-coding RNA (TPRA_LNC002309)". The record is from RNAcentral. Lineage: Eukaryota; Viridiplantae; Streptophyta; Magnoliopsida; Fabales; Fabaceae.